CCUACGGGAGGCAGCAGUGAGGAAUAUUGGUCAAUGGGCUUACGCCUGAACCAGCCAAGUCGCGUGAGGGAAGACUGCCCUAUGGGUUGUAAACCUCUUUUGUCAGGGAGCAACGCCGGCUACGUGUAGCCCGACUGAGAGUACCUGAAGAAAAAGCAUCGGCUAACUCCGUGCCAGCAGCCGCGGUAAUACGGAGGAUGCGAGCGUUAUCCGGAUUUAUUGGGUUUAAAGGGUGCGUAGGCGGAAUGCCAAGUCAGCGGUAAAAUCGCGGGGCUCAACCUCGCUCCGCCGUUGAAACUGGCGUUCUUGAGUGGGCGAGAAGUAUGCGGAAUGCGUGGUGUAGCGGUGAAAUGCAUAGAUAUCACGCAGAACUCCGAUUGCGAAGGCAGCAUACCGGCGCCCAACUGACGCUGAAGCACGAAAGCGUGGGUAUCGAACAGGAUUAGAUACCCUUGUAGUC
This 460-nucleotide ribosomal RNA is filed under the name uncultured bacterium. RNAcentral's name for it is "partial 16S ribosomal RNA". It matches the Rfam family "Bacterial small subunit ribosomal RNA", at positions 338 to 795 of the family's 1533-position model. The record is from RNAcentral.